GACGAACGCUGGCGGCGUGCUUAACACAUGCAAGUCGAACGGAAAGGCCCUGCUUUUGUGGGGUGCUCGAGUGGCGAACGGGUGUGUAACACGUGAGUAAUCCGCCCUUGACUUUGGGAUAACUUCAGGAAACUGGGGCUAAUACCGGAUAGGAGCUCCUGCUGCAUGGUGGGGGUUGGAAAGUUUCGGCGGUUGGGGAUGGACUCGCGGCUUAUCAGCUUGUUGGUGGGGUAGUGGCUUACCAAGGCUUUGACGGGUAGCCGGCCUGAGAGGGUGACCGGCCACAUUGGGACUGAGAUACGGCCCAGACUCCUACGGGAGGCAGCAGUGGGGAAUAUUGCACAAUGGGCGGAAGCCUGAUGCAGCGACGCCGCGUGCGGGAUGACGGCCUUCGGGUUGUAAACCGCUUUCGCCUGUGACGAAGCGUGAGUGACGGUAAUGGGUAAAGAAGCACCGGCUAACUACGUG
This 468-nucleotide ribosomal RNA is filed under the name uncultured bacterium. RNAcentral's name for it is "partial 16S ribosomal RNA". It matches the Rfam family "Bacterial small subunit ribosomal RNA", at positions 28 to 507 of the family's 1533-position model. The record is from RNAcentral.